GCCAAACAGAGCCGGAGCCGGAGGUUCGGGAAGAAAGAGAGAAAUCAAGUUCUAAAGAUUCAAGAGUUCCUUGAUCCACGUUGUCUCUUGGUUGGAUGUUGCAAGCUCCGUAUUUCCCAGUCAAGUCCCUGCCUGAUGGUACAGCUACUUCCCAAUCCACGUGGAGCCCUGCCUCUGCUGAGCUGCCCUCAACUCCCUUUGGCCUCUCAGUGGCUCUGCACCGCUCACCUUAUGCCCACUGGAGCCAGAACCCAUGAUGGAGACAGAUGAAGCCACGCCGGAGGUCUUCCAAAGGGGCAAUCCCAGAGGCAGAGAGGAAUUCAUGAAGAUUUCUCGCAAGAUCCAAGAAGCUUUUUUAAAAAAGAGAGUCUUUGGGGGCUCGUUUUGGUUAAAUACUGCAUUAAGAAAUAGGUGCCUACUUUUGGCUUUGUAUUUCCUUUUGUUUCCUCCACCUCCAGCUAUCUCUACUUUGAUCUGGUCCACAUGUCAGUCCCAAGACUGACAUCACAAUGACAAAAGCUUGACUGUGAGUGAAGAACACAGCCGAACGGAUAUGUGGCAGCAAGCAUUCCGUAUCCAAGGGCGCUCGGAAUGUUCGAGAAUGUUCAUCACUUCUUCCUAUCCUUUAGCUAUCAGUAUCACACAGGAAGGAACCUGGUUUUCCUCCUUUUCAGAGACAGCCUCACAGCCACACUGAGAUGAUGGGUUUCACGUGGAGUUUUCUGGGCUGCGGACGAGGGGAAGGCUUGGGUUUAGGGUGAAGAGCCUGUCUUGGAUUUUGGAGUGGAACUGUUUGGCUCUGUGCCCUUGUGCUACAACGAGCUUAUUAGGGGACCCCUCGGAUCUGAAAACAGAGCCCCUUGGCGUGAUUAACAUUAAAUGAGAUAAUAAACGGGAAGCACUGAAUCUGGUUCCUCA
RNAcentral lists this long non-coding RNA (918 nucleotides) under Felis catus (domestic cat). Its description in RNAcentral is "lncRNA (ENSFCAG00000042376.2)". Lineage: Eukaryota; Metazoa; Chordata; Mammalia; Carnivora; Felidae. The record is from RNAcentral.